Molecule: ribosomal RNA, 1394 nt
Filed under: uncultured bacterium
Lineage: Bacteria
Description: bacterial SSU rRNA
Rfam family: Bacterial small subunit ribosomal RNA
Source: RNAcentral
UUCAGGAUGAACGCUAGCUACAGGCUUAACACAUGCAAGUCGAGGGGCAGCAUGGUCUUAGCUUGCUAAGGCCGAUGGCGACCGGCGCACGGGUGAGUAACACGUAUCCAACCUGCCGUCUACUCUUGGACAGCCUUCUGAAAGGAAGAUUAAUACAAGAUGGCAUCAUGAGUCCGCAUGUUCACAUGAUUAAAGGUAUUCCGGUAGACGAUGGGGAUGCGUUCCAUUAGAUAGUAGGCGGGGUAACGGCCCACCUAGUCUUCGAUGGAUAGGGGUUCUGAGAGGAAGGUCCCCCACAUUGGAACUGAGACACGGUCCAAACUCCUACGGGAGGCAGCAGUGAGGAAUAUUGGUCAAUGGGCGAGAGCCUGAACCAGCCAAGUAGCGUGAAGGAUGACUGCCCUAUGGGUUGUAAACUUCUUUUAUAAAGGAAUAAAGUCGGGUAUGGAUACCCGUUUGCAUGUACUUUAUGAAUAAGGAUCGGCUAACUCCGUGCCAGCAGCCGCGGUAAUACGGAGGAUCCGAGCGUUAUCCGGAUUUAUUGGGUUUAAAGGGAGCGUAGAUGGAUGUUUAAGUCAGUUGUGAAAGUUUGCGGCUCAACCGUAAAAUUGCAGUUGAUACUGGAUAUCUUGAGUGCAGUUGAGGCAGGCGGAAUUCGUGGUGUAGCGGUGAAGUGCUUAGAUAUCACGAAGAACUCCGAUUGCGAAGGCAGCCUGCUAAGCUGCAACUGACAUUGAGGCUCGAAAGUGUGGGUAUCAAACAGGAUUAGAUACCCUGGUAGUCCACACGGUAAACGAUGAAUACUCGCUGUUUGCGAUAUACUGCAAGCGGCCAAGCGAAAGCGUUAAGUAUUCCACCUGGGGAGUACGCCGGCAACGGUGAAACUCAAAGGAAUUGACGGGGGCCCGCACAAGCGGAGGAACAUGUGGUUUAAUUCGAUGAUACGCGAGGAACCUUACCCGGGCUUAAAUUGCAGAUGAAUUACGGUGAAAGCCGUAAGCCGCAAGGCAUCUGUGAAGGUGCUGCAUGGUUGUCGUCAGCUCGUGCCGUGAGGUGUCGGCUUAAGUGCCAUAACGAGCGCAACCCUUGUUGUCAGUUACUAACAGGUUCCGCUGAGGACUCUGACAAGACUGCCAUCGUAAGAUGUGAGGAAGGUGGGGAUGACGUCAAAUCAGCACGGCCCUUACGUCCGGGGCUACACACGUGUUACAAUGGGGGGUACAGAGGGCCGCUACCACGCGAGUGGAUGCCAAUCCCCAAAACCUCUCUCAGUUCGGACUGGAGUCUGCAACCCGACUCCACGAAGCUGGAUUCGCUAGUAAUCGCGCAUCAGCCACGGCGCGGUGAAUACGUUCCCGGGCCUUGUACACACCGCCCGUCAAGCCAUGGGAGCC